ACGUAUUUCGACACCAUCACUUGAUCACAACCUCUGUCUGAACCUCCAAGCAUGUCGCCGGAGAUACGAGAAGAUGACCGGAAUAACCAUUUACGCAGCCCUGCUUCGUACCCGCCGGAGUUCGGAGCAUUCACCGGCGCUUCCACGGAACGCCUCGUUUACGACGACACCGCGCGUUGUCGGAAAAGGAAAGAACGUCGCCGGAGAAUCAAGCACCUUCGCCGGGGAUCAGAAUUCACUUCGUGUUCACGUCGGAGUUUAACACUAUUUCGGAUAAUCACAUUCGUGCAUUUGAAUUCUCCAUCCUUAACUCGUGCGCUCUUACAAGAAAUCGCAACGCAAUCAAUGU
This is a long non-coding RNA of Helianthus annuus (common sunflower), 349 nucleotides long. RefSeq lists it as uncharacterized. NCBI's taxonomy places the organism in Eukaryota, Viridiplantae, Streptophyta, Magnoliopsida, Asterales, Asteraceae. The record is from RefSeq and is a predicted model, not a curated record. The transcript has 3 exons.